This 253-nucleotide ribosomal RNA is filed under the name uncultured bacterium. RNAcentral's name for it is "partial 16S ribosomal RNA". It matches the Rfam family "Bacterial small subunit ribosomal RNA", at positions 524 to 776 of the family's 1533-position model. The record is from RNAcentral.
UACAGAGGGUGCAAGCGUUGUUCGGAAUUAUUGGGCGUAAAGCGCGUGUAGGCGGCCUUGCAAGUCGGGUGUGAAAGCCCUCAGCUCAACUGAGGAAGCGCGCCCGAAACUGCAGAGCUUGAGUACCGGAGAGGAUGGCGGAAUUCCCCAAGUAGAGGUGAAAUUCGUAGAUAUGGGGAGGAACACCGGUGGCGAAGGCGGCCUGCUGGGCAGUGGCUGACGCUGAGGCGCGACAGCGUGGGGAGCAAACAGG